This 976-nucleotide ribosomal RNA is filed under the name Microcharidius sp. 24 aff. bullaquensis CA-2017. Its description in RNAcentral is "SSU rRNA". It matches the Rfam family "Eukaryotic small subunit ribosomal RNA", at positions 427 to 1291 of the family's 1831-position model. The record is from RNAcentral. Lineage: Eukaryota; Metazoa; Arthropoda; Insecta; Coleoptera; Carabidae.
AGCAGGCGCGCAAAUUACCCACUCCCGGCACGGGGAGGUAGUGACGAAAAAUAACGAUACGGGACUCAUCCGAGGCCCCGUAAUCGGAAUGAGUACACUUUAAAUCCUUUAACGAGUACCCAUUGGAGGGCAAGUCUGGUGCCAGCAGCCGCGGUAAUACCAGCUCCAAUAGCGUAUAUUAAUGUUGUUGCGGUUAAAAAGCUCGUAGUUGAAUUUGUGUUCCGCGCUGUCGGUUCACCGCCCGCGGUGUUUAACUGGCACGUCCGCGGAACGUCCUGCCGGUGGAUGCGUGGACCCUGUAUGCUUCCCCAUUGUGCGUGUGCAACUUCGGUUGUUACUGUAUGAUGUGGUGGGGUUGCAGGCGCUCUACCAUCCGACUCAAUAAUCCUGUCGCGGUGCUCUUAAUUGAGUGUCGAGGCGGGCCGGCACGUUUACUUUGAACAAAUUAGAGUGCUCAAAGCAGGCUAAAAUUUCGCCUGAAUACUGUGUGCAUGGAAUAAUGGAACAGGACCUCGGUUCUAUUUUGUUGGUUUUCGGAAACCCGAGGUAAUGAUUAAUAGGGACAGAUGGGGGCAUUCGUAUUGCGACGUUAGAGGUGAAAUUCUUGGAUCGUCGCAAGACGGACAGAAGCGAAAGCAUUUGCCAAAAAUGUUUUCAUUAAUCAAGAACGAAAGUCAGAGGUUCGAAGGCGAUCAGAUACCGCCCUAGUUCUGACCAUAAACGAUGCCAGCUAGCGAUCCGCCGACGUUCCUCCGAUGACUCGGCGGGCAGCUUCCGGGAAACCAAAGCUUUUGGGUUCCGGGGGAAGUAUGGUUGCAAAGCUGAAACUUAAAGGAAUUGACGGAAGGGCACCACCAGGAGUGGAGCCUGCGGCUUAAUUUGACUCAACACGGGAAACCUCACCAGGUCCAGACAGCGGAAGGAUUGACAGAUUGAGAGCUCUUUCUUGAUUCGGUGGAUGGUGGUGCAUGGCCGU